AUUGAACGCUGGCGGAAUGCUUUACACAUGCAAGUCGAGCGGCAGCGCGGGGGCAACUCUGGCGGCGAGCGGCGAACGGGUGAGUAAUGCAUCGGAACAUGUCCGGUUGUGGGGGAUAACCUGGCGAAAGCCAGGCUAAUACCGCAUGAGCUCGAGAGGAGGAAAGGCCGGGGGACCCGCGAAGGGCCUCGCGCGGACCGGGUUGGCCGAUGUCCGAUUAGCUAGUUGGGAGGGGUAAAGGCUUACCAAGGCGAUGAUCGGUAGCUGGUCUGAGAGGAUGAUCA
Molecule: ribosomal RNA, 284 nt
Filed under: uncultured bacterium
Lineage: Bacteria
Description: partial 16S ribosomal RNA
Rfam family: Bacterial small subunit ribosomal RNA
Source: RNAcentral